This 71-nucleotide transfer RNA is filed under the name Colletotrichum higginsianum. RNAcentral's name for it is "tRNA-Pro". Lineage: Eukaryota; Fungi; Ascomycota; Sordariomycetes; Glomerellales; Glomerellaceae. The record is from RNAcentral.
GGCCCAAUGGUCUAGAGGUAUGAUUCGCCCUUCGGGUGGGCGAGGCCCGCGUUCGAAUCGCGGUUGGGCCC